GAAAUGCGAUAAGUAAUGUGAAUUGCAGAAUUCAGUGAAACAUCGAAUCUUUGAACGCACAUUGCGCCCGCCAGUAUUCUGGCGGGCAUGCCUGUCCGAGCGUCAUUUCAACCAUCAAGCCUCCGGGCUUGUGUUGGGGACCUGCGGCUGCCCGCAGGCCCUGAAAACCAGUGGCGGGCUCGCUGUCACACCGAGCGUAGUAGCAAUCACCUCGCUCAGGGCGUGCUGCGGGUUCCGGCCGUUAAACAGCCUUACAAAACCCAAGGUUGACCUCGGAUCAGGUAGGAAGACCCGCUGAACUUAAGC
RNAcentral lists this unclassified non-coding RNA (306 nucleotides) under plant metagenome. Its description in RNAcentral is "partial contains 5.8S ribosomal RNA, internal transcribed spacer 2, and large subunit ribosomal RNA". The stretch from base 1 to 105 matches the Rfam family "5.8S ribosomal RNA", at positions 50 to 154 of the family's 154-position model. The record is from RNAcentral.